This 122-nucleotide non-coding RNA is filed under the name Mongoliibacter ruber. The record is from RNAcentral. Lineage: Bacteria; Pseudomonadati; Bacteroidota; Cytophagia; Cytophagales; Cyclobacteriaceae.
CCUUACCAAGGGAGAUCUUGGAAUAGACUAGGUUUCUAUGAGCCAAGAAGUCAGCCGAAGUCAUAGUAGCUACUGGAAACAAGCCCUGAAAUACAGGGAAGACUUACAAGGUAGUGAAGGAC